This 2197-nucleotide long non-coding RNA is filed under the name Homo sapiens (human). Its description in RNAcentral is "HSALNT0258672". Lineage: Eukaryota; Metazoa; Chordata; Mammalia; Primates; Hominidae. The record is from RNAcentral.
CGCGCCGCCACAUUCAGCUAAUUUUGUUAAUUUUAGUAGAGAUGGGGUUUCAUCAUGUUACCCAGGCUGGUCUUGAACUCCUGGGCUCAAGCGAUCCACCUGCCUUGGCCUCCCAAAGUGCUGGGACUGCAACGUGAGUCACCGCGCCAGCCUCACCUAUUUUAUGGCGUCUACCCCAUUCUACCUGUCCUUUUCCUGCCCCGCAGAGAGUGCACUGGGGGAGGGAGUGAAGGCAGGUGCUCCCUGAGCAGCUGGAGGAGUCAGGGUUGGGGGCCUGGGUUCACAGAGGUGGGCUGAGUUGAGUGAUGGUUAGGCCGUAGAAAGGACUGGAUUUGGCAAGUGUCUGGAUGUGGGGGGUUGGGGGUUGGGGGUUGGGAGGUGUUCAUGAGAACCCCAGCAAAGAGUGAGGGCAGGGGGAAGAGGGGAUGGGAUGCUCUCAUUUUUGGUAGCUGGAGAUGUCCAGUAGACCUGUAAGUGGGCGGGGGUUCAGCGACCCUGCCGACAGCUGUGGGAAUUUGGGGUCACUGGCGUGUGGCGCUCUCUUCUCUGAAUCUUUUUUUUUGUUGAGAUGAGUCUCACUCCGUUGCCCAGGCUGCAGUGCAGUGGCACUAUCUCAGCUCACUGCAAGCUCCGCCUCCUGGGUUCAAGCAAUUCUCCUGCCUCAGCCUCCUGAGUAGCUGGGACUACAGGCACCCACCACCACACCCGGCUAGUUUUUGUGUUUUUAGUAGUGACAGGGUUUCACCAUGUUGGCUGGGCUGGUCUCAAACUCCUGACUUCAAGUGAUCCACCCGCCUUGGCCUCCCAAAGUGCUAGGAUUACAGGCUUGAGCCACCACACCAGGCCUUCUUUUCUGAAUCUUGGCCCUGGGAAUUCCAGUUGCCUUGGCCUCCCCAGAUUCUCAACUCAAGGAGACCACGGGGCUCCCCUGGGCAGCUGGAGCAGUCUCCAGGCAGUCAGUCGGGUGUUGUGGGGUACACUUCUCAGAUUUCCCCUCUCUGAGAGAUGAUGGGCCUCCCUGGUCUGUUGUCCGGGGUCUGAGAGUCACUGUCAUCUGUUUAGCCUGUUGCUCUCGUUGUUAAAGGUGGGAGGGGAAAUCCAAUUUCUCUUCCUCCGUUCUGGCGGGAAGCAAGGGUCCCAUGAUGGACACAGGGACGGCAGCUGAAGCCAGGGAGCAAGUGAGGUCUUCCAGGAUGAGUUGGAAAAGAAGGAGUGGGGGUCAGGAUAGCUCAGGGAGCACUGUCAUUUAAGGACACACACAGGCGAAGUGGCCACAAAGGGAGACUGAGGAGGCCUGGGCAGGAGAACCAGGAGGCUGCCGGCGACCGCGCCCCAGCAAGAGCAGAGCAAGUGGCGGUGGGGAAUCUGCAGUAGCAAUCAGGGAUCCCUUGGGUGACAAGGUCUCCUGGGUGCAGGCGAGUGGCCCCAUGGGAGCACCGAUUGUGUCAGGGUACCCAGGAGGGAGGACAAGGAGCAGGGAUGGUCUGCAGAGGGGCCAGGGCUCCCCUCCAGCCCUAACAGGACCUCCGCGUCCCUCCACUUGCUGGGCCGUCCUGUGGACUGUGCGGUCCCCUGCAGAUUGUCCAGUACCGAGGGCAGCAAAAGGUUGACGCUGAGAGUGAGAGCGGGGCAGGCGGCUGGUGGUGGUGCUGUGCUGCCGCGAGGCUGUUGGAUGGGGACUGAUACCUCCGGGACCCCGCACUCCUCCCUGGCCUGGUGUGCAGCGGUCGGUAGCAGGGCCCAGCCAGUGGCCUGUGGUGGGACAGACAGGAGACCAGGGAAAGGAGUGAUGUGGUGUCACUGCAGCAGCCCAGCUCCCUUCCCUGCGCAGGGCGGGCCAGGUGUUGGUGUCAGGGGCUCUGGGUAACGGGUCAAAGCCGCCAGCAUUCCAGCCCCGAGCCCGCAACGGUAAAAACUGCGAGAUAGGGUACUUGAAGCCCGCCCCCUGCUUCCCAGGUCCUCUCACCAUUGCCUCUUCAGACCACCCGGGGGUGGCAUUCAUCCCUUCACCCUGCUCCAGGGACCCCUGUGUGGUGGGAACUGGUGGACACUUCCUUCCGGGCCCCCCAGCAGCUUGGAGCACAGGGCCGCUCCCUCCUCCACCCACUUGCUUCACUUUGCCCUCGGGGCUGCCAGGUUGUGGUUGUCUUCACUUUCGUUUCUCCUUGAGUCUCUUCUGCCCAGGCCUGUUCUCUUC